The sequence is a regulatory RNA element, 88 nucleotides long. It matches the Rfam family "c-di-GMP-I riboswitch aptamer". From Rfam's summary of the family: GEMM was predicted in a large-scale screen for bacterial structured RNA regulatory elements. Genes associated with GEMM are involved in a diverse array of functions, including chemotaxis regulation, signal transduction, secretion and chitin. The record is from Rfam.
UAUACGAAAUGGCAAAGCCAUUGAAAAAUGGUGGCGCAAAGCUAUAGGGACUAACGUUGUUUUACAACUAUGUCAGCCAGUUUCCGAA